UACAGAGGUGGCAAGCGUUGUUCGGAAUUACUGGGCGUAAAGGGCGCGUAGGCGGCCUGUUAAGUCCCGUGUGAAAUCCCUCGGCUCAACCGAGGAACUGCACGGGAAACUGGCGGGCUUGAGUUCGGGAGAGGGAAGCGGAAUUCCGGGUGUAGCGGUGAAAUGCGUAGAUAUCCGGAGGAACCCCGGUGGCGAAGGCGGCUUCCUGGACCGACACUGACGCUGAGGCGCGAAAGCUAGGGGAGCAGACAGG
RNAcentral lists this ribosomal RNA (253 nucleotides) under uncultured bacterium. RNAcentral describes it as "partial 16S ribosomal RNA". It matches the Rfam family "Bacterial small subunit ribosomal RNA", at positions 524 to 776 of the family's 1533-position model. The record is from RNAcentral.